UUUCCGUAGGUGAACCUGCGGAAGGAUCAUUACUGAAGUGGGUCUUCAUCAUUGAGGCUUCUUCCCAUGGUGCUGGCUUUGACCGUAUGUAAUGUUUGGGAUUAAAUAUGGUUGAUAUUUAUUUUAGCCGUCCCCAACAAUUUAUAUUAUCCUUUAUUAAUUUGAACUGAACUCAUUUUGAGAGUACAUAAAAGAUAAUCUAUUAAUACAACUUUCGACAACGGAUCUCUUGGUUCUC
Molecule: unclassified non-coding RNA, 238 nt
Filed under: plant metagenome
Description: partial contains small subunit ribosomal RNA, internal transcribed spacer 1, and 5.8S ribosomal RNA
Source: RNAcentral